RNAcentral lists this ribosomal RNA (479 nucleotides) under Lacticaseibacillus rhamnosus. RNAcentral's name for it is "bacterial SSU rRNA". It matches the Rfam family "Bacterial small subunit ribosomal RNA", at positions 197 to 673 of the family's 1533-position model. The record is from RNAcentral. Lineage: Bacteria; Bacillati; Bacillota; Bacilli; Lactobacillales; Lactobacillaceae.
AUGGCGUAAGCUAUCACUUUUGGAUGGACCCGCGGCGUAUUAGCUAGUUGGUGAGGUAACGGCUCACCAAGGCAAUGAUACGUAGCCGACCUGAGAGGGUGAUCGGCCACAUUGGGACUGAGACACGGCCCAAACUCCUACGGGAGGCAGCAGUAGGGAAUCUUCCACAAUGGACGCAAGUCUGAUGGAGCAACGCCGCGUGAGUGAAGAAGGCUUUCGGGUCGUAAAACUCUGUUGUUAGAGAAGAAUGGUCGUCAGAGUAACUGUUGUCGCCGUGACGGUAUCCAACCAGAAAGCCACGGCUAACUACGUGCCAGCAGCCGCGGUAAUACGUAGGUGGCAAGCGUUAUCCGGAUUUAUUGGGCGUAAAGCGAGCGCAGGCGGUUUUUUAAGUCUGAUGUGAAAGCCCUCGGCUUAACCGAGGAAGUGCAUCGGAAACUGGGAAACUUGAGUGCAGAAGAGGACAGUGGAACUCCAUG